Molecule: non-coding RNA, 95 nt
Organism: Mycena leptocephala
Lineage: Eukaryota; Fungi; Basidiomycota; Agaricomycetes; Agaricales; Mycenaceae
Source: the annotation of a GenBank genome assembly
UCGGAUGUGGUGCAUGGUGCACUGCCCUAAAAUCUAGGGAGGUUUUUCCAAAAAAAUAUCUGGGGCAAGAUGGGGUUCGAUUCCCCGCAUCCGAA